GUACACGCUGUGACUAGCAUAUCAAUAAGCGGAGGAAAAGAAACUAACAAGGAUUCCCCUAGUAACGGCGAGUGAAGCGGGAAGAGCUCAAAUUUGAAAUCUUAAAGGGUUUCCCUUUACGAAUUGUAGUUUAAAGAAGUGUUUUCUGUUGAGGUUUUGGUAAAAGUUCUCUGGAAUAGGACAUCAUAGAGGGUGAGAAUCCCGUAUUUGACCUUUACUUUCAACUUUGUGAUACACUUUCAAAGAGUCGGAUUGUUUGGGAAUGCAGUCCAAAAUGGGUGGUAAAUUUCAUCUAAAGCUAAAUAUUGGCGAGAGACCGAUAGGCGAACAAGUACCGUGAGGGAAAGAUGAAAAGAACUUUGAAAAGAGAGUUAAACAGUACGUGAAAUUGUCAAAAGGGAAGCGUUUGACACCAGUGUUGUUUUUCUGAAAAUCAAUUAAAGAACUGUUUAUGCUAAGUUGUUUAGACUUUAUCAGCUAACUGUUUAGUUUUGAGCUUUUCUUUAAUGCACUUUUCAGUUAACAAGUCAACAUCAAUUUCUUUUGCUGUAAAAAGGCUUGAGGAAGGUGGCUUGAGAUUCGUCUUAAGUGUUUAUAGCCUCUUGCCUAUGCAGUCGGAGAGAUUGAGGUCUGCAGCGUAGAUCCUUCGGGGCUAAAUGCAUUUGUGCUAAGUUAUAGCAUUUUAUAGACAACUUGUUGACUAUGAUUUGUCUUGUAGCUUACUCGCUUAUGUUAUUUUACCUACGCUUAGGAUGUUGAAGAUGUAGCACAUCAU
RNAcentral lists this ribosomal RNA (775 nucleotides) under uncultured Neocallimastigales. RNAcentral's name for it is "partial large subunit ribosomal RNA". It matches the Rfam family "Eukaryotic large subunit ribosomal RNA", at positions 22 to 635 of the family's 3401-position model. Lineage: Eukaryota; Fungi; Neocallimastigomycota; Neocallimastigomycetes; Neocallimastigales. The record is from RNAcentral.